RNAcentral lists this ribosomal RNA (497 nucleotides) under uncultured bacterium. Its description in RNAcentral is "partial 16S ribosomal RNA". It matches the Rfam family "Bacterial small subunit ribosomal RNA", at positions 28 to 507 of the family's 1533-position model. The record is from RNAcentral.
GAUGAACGCUGGCGGCGUGCCUAAUACAUGCAAGUCGAGCGAACAGACGAGGAGCUUGCUCCUCUGAUGUUAGCGGCGGACGGGUGAGUAACACGUGGAUAACCUACCUAUAAGACUGGGAUAACUUCGGGAAACAGGAGCUAAUACCGGAUAACAUGUUGAACCGCAUGGUUCAACAGUGAAAGACGGUCUUGCUGUCACUUAUAGAUGGAUCCGCGCCGCAUUAGCUAGUUGGUAAGGUAACGGCUUACCAAGGCAACGAUGCGUAGCCGACCUGAGAGGGUGAUCGGCCACACUGGAACUGAGACACGGUCCAGACUCCUACGGGAGGCAGCAGUAGGGAAUCUUCCGCAAUGGGCGAAAGCCUGACGGAGCAACGCCGCGUGAGUGAAGAAGGUCUUCGGAUCGUAAAACUCUGUUAUUAGGGAAGAACAAAUGUGUAAGUAACUAUGCACGUCUUGACGGUACCUAAUCAGAAAGCCACGGCUAACUACGUG